CCCCGCAGUGCGGAAUACCGGCGAGAAAUCGCCGACAAGACCGCAUGGGCUACCUCUCAUUAUGGGGAGGCAGCAAAGGUUUUCGCAAGAGAGCCGCUCUGGGAUGAGCCUGCGGCUGAUUAGCUGGCUGGGGGGGGUAACGGCCUCCCAGGGCGACGAUCAGUAGCUGGUCUGAGAGGACGAGCAGCCACACUGGGAUUGAGAACGGCCCAG
Molecule: ribosomal RNA, 213 nt
Filed under: uncultured bacterium
Lineage: Bacteria
Description: partial 16S ribosomal RNA
Rfam family: Bacterial small subunit ribosomal RNA
Source: RNAcentral